Molecule: ribosomal RNA, 305 nt
Filed under: uncultured bacterium
Lineage: Bacteria
Description: partial 16S ribosomal RNA
Rfam family: Bacterial small subunit ribosomal RNA
Source: RNAcentral
ACAGCAGCCGCCGCGGUAAUACGUAGGGUGCAAGCGUUAAUCGGAAUUACUGGGCGUAAAGCGUGCGUAGGUGGUGGUUUAAGUCCGUUGUGAAAGCCCUGGGCUCAACCUGGGAAUUGCAGUGGAUACUGGGUCACUAGAGUGUGGUAGAGGAUAGUGGAAUUUCCGGUGUAGCAGUGAAAUGCGUAGAGAUCGGAAGGAACAUCUGUGGCGAAGGCGACUAUCUGGGCCAACACUGACACUGAGGCACGAAAGCGUGUGGAGCAAACAGGAUUAGAUACCCGCGUAGUCCCUGUCUCUUAUAC